RNAcentral lists this ribosomal RNA (852 nucleotides) under uncultured bacterium. Its description in RNAcentral is "bacterial SSU rRNA". It matches the Rfam family "Bacterial small subunit ribosomal RNA", at positions 603 to 1448 of the family's 1533-position model. The record is from RNAcentral.
UNUGGCUCAACUGGGGGCGUGCGGUGGGUACGGGCUGGCUUGAGUGCGGUAGGGGAGGCUGGAACUCCUGGUGUAGCGGUGGAAUGCGCAGAUAUCAGGAAGAACACCGGUGGCGAAGGCGGGUCUCUGGGCCGUUACUGACGCUGAGGAGCGAAAGCGUGGGGAGCGAACAGGAUUAGAUACCCUGGUAGUCCACGCUGUAAACGUUGGGCACUAGGUGUGGGGGCCACCCGUGGUUCCCGCGCCGUAGCUAACGCUUUAAGUGCCCCGCCUGGGGAGUACGGCCGCAAGGCUAAAACUCAAAGGAAUUGACGGGGGCCCGCACAAGCGGCGGAGCAUGCGGAUUAAUUCGAUGCAACGCGAAGAACCUUACCAAGGCUUGACAUGCGCCCCGGGCGCGCGGAGACGCGCGCGCAUUUGGUUGGGGGUGUGCAGGUGGUGCAUGGUUGUCGUCAGCUCGUGUCGUGAGAUGUUGGGUUAAGUCCCGCAACGAGCGCAACCCUUGCCCUAUGUUGCCAGCGCGUUGUGGCGGGGACUCGUGGGGGAUUGCCGGGGUUAACUCGGAGGAAGGUGGGGAUGACGUCAAAUCAUCAUGCCCCUUAUGUCUUGGGCUUCACGCAUGCUACAAUGGCCGGUACAGAGGGUUGCGAUGCCGUGAGGCGGGGCGAAUCCCUUAAAGCCGGUCUCAGUUCGGAUUGGGGUCUGCAACUCGACCCCAUGAAGGUGGAGUCGCUAGUAAUCGCAGAUCAGCAACGCUGCGGUGAAUACGUUCUCGGGCCUUGUACACACCGCCCGUCACGUCACGAAAGUUGGUAACGCCCGAAGCCCAUGGCCCAACCGGCUCGUCCGGGG